This 829-nucleotide ribosomal RNA is filed under the name uncultured Rhizobium sp. RNAcentral's name for it is "bacterial SSU rRNA". It matches the Rfam family "Bacterial small subunit ribosomal RNA", at positions 48 to 927 of the family's 1533-position model. Lineage: Bacteria; Pseudomonadati; Pseudomonadota; Alphaproteobacteria; Hyphomicrobiales; Rhizobiaceae. The record is from RNAcentral.
GCUACCAUGCAGUCGAACGCCCCGCAGGGGAGUGGCAGACGGGUGAGUAACGCGUGGGAACAUACCCUUUCCUGCGGAAUAGCUCCGGGAAACUGGAAUUAAUACCGCAUACGCCCUACGGGGGAAAGAUUUAUCGGGGAAGGAUUGGCCCGCGUUGGAUUAGCUAGUUGGUGGGGUAAAGGCCUACCAAGGCGACGAUCCAUAGCUGGUCUGAGAGGAUGAUCAGCCACAUUGGGACUGAGACACGGCCCAAACUCCUACGGGAGGCAGCAGUGGGGAAUAUUGGACAAUGGGCGCAAGCCUGAUCCAGCCAUGCCGCGUGAGUGAUGAAGGCCUUAGGGUUGUAAAGCUCUUUCACCGAUGAAGAUAAUGACGGUAGUCGGAGAAGAAGCCCCGGCUAACUUCGUGCCAGCAGCCGCGGUAAUACGAAGGGGGCUAGCGUUGUUCGGAAUUACUGGGCGUAAAGCGCACGUAGGCGGAUAUUUAAGUCAGGGGUGAAAUCCCGCAGCUCAACUGCGGAACUGCCUUUGAUACUGGGUAUCUUGAGUAUGGAAGAGGUAAGUGGAAUUCCGAGUGUAGAGGUGAAACUCGUAGAUAUUCGGAGGAACACCAGUGGCGAAGGCGGCUUACUGGUCCAUUACUGACGCUGAGGUGCGAAAGCGUGGGGAGCAAACAGGAUUACAUACCCUGGUAGUCCACGCCGUAUACGAUGAAUGUUAGCCGUCGGGCGGUAUACUGUUCGGUGUCGCAGCUAACGCAUUAAACAUUCCCGCCUGGGGAGUACCGUCGCAAGAUUAAAACUACAAAUGAAUUGACGGCGUGCCGCACC